This 490-nucleotide ribosomal RNA is filed under the name uncultured microorganism. Its description in RNAcentral is "bacterial SSU rRNA". It matches the Rfam family "Bacterial small subunit ribosomal RNA", at positions 9 to 462 of the family's 1533-position model. The record is from RNAcentral.
GAGUUUGAUCAUGGCUCAGGAUGAACGCCGGCGGUGUGCCUAAUACAUGCAAGUCGUACGCACUGGCCCAACUGAUUGAUGGUGCUUGCACCUGAUUGACGAUGGAUCACCAGUGAGUGGCGGACGGGUGAGUAACACGUAGGUAACCUGCCCCGGAGCGGGGGAUAACAUUUGGAAACAGAUGCUAAUACCGCAUAACAACAAAGGCCACAUGGCUUUUGUUUGAAAGAUGGCUUUGGCCAUCACUCUGGGAUGGACCUGCGGUGCAUUAGCUAGUUGGUAAGGUAACGGCUUACCAAGGCGAUGAUGCAUAGCCGAGUUGAGAGACUGAUCGGCCACAAUGGAACUGAGACACGGUCCAUACUCCUACGGGAGGCAGCAGUAGGGAAUCUUCCACAAUGGGCGCAAGCCUGAUGGAGCAACACCGCGUGAGUGAAGAAGGGUUUCGGCUCGUAAAGCUCUGUUGUUGGGGAAGAACGUGCGUGAGAGU